GCAGUUGUGGCGGAAUUGGCAGACGCGCAAGACUAAGGAUCUUGUGGCCGGUAAGGCUGUACGGGUUCAAGUCCCGUCAACUGCA
This 85-nucleotide transfer RNA is filed under the name [Clostridium] polysaccharolyticum. Its description in RNAcentral is "Clostridium polysaccharolyticum tRNA". It matches the Rfam family "tRNA". From Rfam's summary of the family: Transfer RNA (tRNA) molecules are approximately 80 nucleotides in length. Their secondary structure includes four short double-helical elements and three loops (D, anti-codon, and T loops). Further hydrogen bonds mediate the characteristic L-shaped molecular structure. tRNAs have two regions of fundamental functional importance: the anti-codon, which is responsible for specific mRNA codon recognition, and the 3' end, to which the tRNAs corresponding amino acid is attached (by aminoacyl-tRNA synthetases). tRNAs cope with the degeneracy of the genetic code in two manners: having more than one tRNA (with a specific anti-codon) for a particular amino acid; and 'wobble' base-pairing, i.e. permitting non-standard base-pairing at the 3rd anti-codon position. The record is from Rfam by way of RNAcentral. Lineage: Bacteria; Bacillati; Bacillota; Clostridia; Lachnospirales; Lachnospiraceae.